CAGCCGCCGCGGGAAUACGAAGGGUGCAAGCGUUAAUCGGAAUUACUGGGCGUAAAGCGUGCGUAGGCGGUGAGUUAAGUCUGCUGUGAAAUCCCCGGGAUCAACCUGGGAAUGGCAGUGGAUACUGGCAAGCUAGAGUGUGUCAGAGGACGGUGGAAUUCCCGGUGCAGCGGUGAAAUGCGUAGAGAUCGGAAGGAACAUCUGUGGCGAAGGCGACUAUCUGGGCCAACACUGACACUGAGGCACGAAAGCGUGGGGAGCAAACAGGAUUAGAUACCCGCGUAGUCCCUGUCUCUUAUAC
RNAcentral lists this ribosomal RNA (301 nucleotides) under uncultured bacterium. RNAcentral's name for it is "partial 16S ribosomal RNA". It matches the Rfam family "Bacterial small subunit ribosomal RNA", at positions 509 to 807 of the family's 1533-position model. The record is from RNAcentral.